This 254-nucleotide ribosomal RNA is filed under the name uncultured microorganism. RNAcentral describes it as "partial 16S ribosomal RNA". It matches the Rfam family "Archaeal small subunit ribosomal RNA", at positions 474 to 727 of the family's 1478-position model. The record is from RNAcentral.
CACCGGCGGCCCGAGUGGCGGUCACUAUUAUUGGGGCUAAAGCGUCCGUAGCCGGCUUGGCAAGUCCCCUGGGAAAUCUGGCGGCUUAACCGUCAGGCGUCCAGAGGAUACUGCCAGGCUUGGGACCGGGAGAGGUGAGAGGUACCUCAGGGGUAGGGGUGAAAUCUUGUGAUCCCUGAGGGACCACCAGUGGCGAAGGCGUCUCACUAGAACGGGUCCGACGGUCAGGGACGAAAGCUGGGGGCACGAACCGG